CGAUAAAACAGCAAACCGCCCAAUUUGAGCCGACCUGGAUCAUCUGUGAUUUCACUUGAAGGAGAAGAUGAGGGCGAUAUUCUGUAUAUAAAUCAUGCUUGACCUCUGAGGUCGUGUUUGACCUUUGAGGUCGUGGUCGUACCUGAGUCUCCGUCUCUGAGGCAUCUGCUGGUCCAGGUCUCUCUGCUGGCGCUCCUCUCUCGUCAUGCCUUUGUAGUUCGACGUCAAGCCGAAGAUCGGCCGCGA
Labrus mixtus (cuckoo wrasse) is the source of this 246-nucleotide long non-coding RNA. RefSeq lists it as uncharacterized. Lineage: Eukaryota; Metazoa; Chordata; Actinopteri; Labriformes; Labridae. The record is from RefSeq and is a predicted model, not a curated record. The transcript has 3 exons.